RNAcentral lists this long non-coding RNA (3934 nucleotides) under Canis lupus familiaris (dog). Its description in RNAcentral is "lncRNA (ENSCAFG00000055265.1)". The record is from RNAcentral. Lineage: Eukaryota; Metazoa; Chordata; Mammalia; Carnivora; Canidae.
UUUUUUUUCCUCUAAAGCCACACUAAAUAAAGACACAUUAAGAAACAAUAGUUUAAAGUGAUAAUUUCAGGCAAAGACACACAUGUUUACUCAGCAUUGAAGUGUAUAUUCAGAGACUGUCACGUAGGACAAAUUUGAUCUGUGUGUCAUAUUUUUAGAUGAGCUCAAAACCCUUUUCUUUGGGUAUGUAAGUUAAGUGAGCGCGAUGAAAAGUUCAGAUUUUCUGUGACUUUUCACAGAAACUGUGCCCAUGUAGUUUUUCCAUAGACUUCAAAGCACUCUGCUGUUUAGCUUUUACUUUGCCCUAAAAGGCAUUUUCCUACACUACAACUUUGCUUUUAAUUGCAAUGUGAGUGCAAGAUAACAAUGAAUCUCAUUAAGUUUGAGAUUUUGAUGAGCAAAACAGUACAGAAAAAAGAAUCUACAAAGAAUGAUUCAUACCCUUCUAUCCUCAAAACUCACCAUCAUGUCUUAGUCCAUACAAUAUAUUUUUAGUACAUUUCUUUUUAUGUACAAUCAACAUUUCUUUACUUGCAAGCUUAUGUGUUGCUUACAAAAGCUUGCUUUUGUUCUGUUAUUGCUAAGUUUUCCUAUCUGUGAAAAUUGUUUGGAUAUCGUAUGUUAAAAUGGAGUACAUCAUGAUCUUGCUCAUUCAACUGAAGAGCUUUUUUUAAAAUUUAACAACCUGUCACUUAGUAGCAUAGUUUUCAGGAAAAAAUUAAAAUUGUUCAGUGAAAGAUAAGUGUAUAAAUCUAAGUUAAAAAAAUAAAUAAAUAAAAUAAAUCUAAGUUAGACCUUAGAACAUUCUUUCAAGUAAGCCAGGAAAAUAGAGAAUUCAGCUACAUAUAAAGAAGAGAAGGAGUGGGAGAAAUCUUAAGGAAGUCAGAUUGGUUCAGGCACAUAUAUAAAGAAUGAAUAUUUUUUAAAAAAGAGAAAGGAAAAUUUUAUCAUUUUUCCCAAGGGUAUAAUUUCAGAGUUUCAAGUAAUGAAUACCAUUGAAAACCAACUUUCCAAAGAUAAUUUUAAAAAGCAAUAUAGUAAGUGAUUGCAUUGUGAAGACUUUAAAAAGUGUACAAAUAUAGAAUGAAAAGCAGAGGGAGGGCAGCCCAAGUGGCUCAACGGUUUAGCACCACCUUCGGCCCAGGGCAUGAUCCUGGAGACCGGGGAUCAAGUCCCACUUCAGGUUCCCAGCAUGGAGCCUGCUUCUCCCUCUGCCUGUGUCUCUGCCUCUCUCGAUCUCUCUCUCUCUCUCUCUCUCUCUCUCUCUCUCUCUCUCCGCCUCUCAUGAGUAAAUAAAUAAAAUCUUAAAAAAAAAAAAAAAAGCAGAGGGAGAAGACUGUCCUAAUGUCCAAAUAUUACAUAAGUGGGUAUUCAUGACAGCAUAUUUCCAGGAACAGAAUCAUACACAGAUUCCACUUUUAGGCUGAUAUCCCAGCUUAGUGGGAAGUGAAGAUGAUUUUCUCUGGUAAACAAUAGUUGGCUCAAAAAGUAGUUAUAAAAAUUAUCAAGCCAUUGAUGGUGAACAUACAUAUGAAUAGUUUGAAAACACUUUUUAAAGAAAAUAUGAGUUUCUUUUUCAAUUCAAGAUGAUAAGCUUCUCCAGAAUAGAUAUCGGGCCAAACUUUCCUACAAGCACAUUGCAGCAAUUAGCAAUUAUUGAAAUAAAUUGUAUUAGCAUGUAAAGACAUCAUGAACUCAAAGCAGACAGAAUGGACUCGAUUACUUUUUUGCUAUCAUGUAUGAAGUGAUAACUGACAUGCCAUCAAUAGGGUGUGAUGUCUAGUUAGGCAGAAGAGAAAAGAGAUGACUGGUCCAUAUUGGACUUAAACCCAUGAUCUUGGCCUCUAUAACACAGUGAUCCAACCAACUGAGCUCACGGCCAUAUGCCCAUCUUUACACUUGGCAGAAGAAACACCACGAUGAGGUGCCUUUUUUGUGUGUGCAAUCACGAUUAGUAGGGCAUUCCUUCCAACAAUGAGGAAUCUUCCUAUCUGAUUUUUCACACUUCUUGCUGACAAUAAAAGCUAAUCACUAGUUGCAGUAAUAAGGAUGACAACUAAAGUCUCAUUACUCAAACUAUGUUUCUAUAUUUUGGUGAGAUUAUCACCAUUUUUAUGCCCAUGUGAAAGAAUCUUAACGAAACCCAUUGUUUGUCAUCUUUGAAAAAAGAUGGAAGAUACUAUGAAGCUACUCAAAAGUUAAAGAAUUGCUACCCUCUCAUUCAGGCUUUCCUUCAAAGUGAAGAAAGGGACCAGAAAGCUGUUAAUAGCAAAAGAAACUAAGAAACUUGUUUAACAUACUCACAUAUUCAACUCACUCAUCUUUCCUUCUUUCCAAAUAAAAUAACUUUUCUGGCUAUGUUUUUCAGGAGGAAAAGAAGUUGGAAAUAACGUUAUUAUUCAGUUCCACGAACUGGGCUUCUUGGAAUCCAAUGCUGGAAAAGACCUUAAAAAUAAUCAAGUCCCACUUCAUAGUGAGAACACAGAGGUUCAGGAUUACACAGUGAGUGGCAGAGCCACUUAGAAAUAUCUAGCUAGAAUCCAUCACAUUGUGUAAAGACAAUAAAUUAAAGAACUUUAAACACAACUCUAUCUUUGGAAUUGAGGUAGGUGAUUAAAGACAAGAAUUUCCUAACUUAUUCUAUUUUAAAAUUUUAAUUACUUUAUUUCACUUUCAGGCUCUAAAUAUUUACUGAUUAAUUAGGAUAGAAUAGGCUACUGGCUGAAUCCAGAAUAUUUACAAUAGGGAAGAUAUUUUAGGACAGCUAUUUAGGCAUCAUUUAGGCACACUGAAAGCAAACACCAAGCGUAAAAAUACUCUCUGCAGGAUAGGAAUCCCUGGCACCCAUCCUGUCCUGGAGCCAUACUUCCCCUCUGAGACUCUAGCAGGUGAGACUCAGGAAAAAAAAGUAUGGGAUGAACUGACCACAGUGAAUGGGGUUGGGUCAGGCUGUUUGUAGUAAGGAAACAGUAUUUUCUAGACAUUAUAAAAUCAGUCAGGGGCAGCCCCGGUGGCUCAGCGGUUUAGUGCCACCUUUAGCCCAGGGUGUGAUCCUGGAGUCCGGGCCGAGUCCCACGUUGGGCUCCCUGCAUGGAGCCUGCUUCUCCCUCUGCCUUCUCUGCUUUCUUUGAUACAUCAUGCAUAAUACUUCGAGAUUCACAUUCACAAUUGUGAUUUCAUCAAUCUCUUUUUUAAUAGCACUCAGUGUUCCCAUCCUGUGCAUUAUCAGAUCAAACCCUCUCAGCCUGACCUUGCAACCUUGGCCUCGCCCUCCCUGGCAGCCUUACCACUGAAGGAGAAUUCACCUUACUCCAAAAACAGGCCACCUUCCCCAGCUCCAUGCCUCAUUCUACUCAGACUCUCUCCUUAAUCUGAGGGUCGUUCCCUUCCUCUGUAUCUGCUCUGUGUCCUGGUUGGUCAUACUCACAGCUGCUCUAUGAGGCUCCUAAGGUAGCAUUCGUUUCUCUGCUCUCCUCUGUCCCCAUGCUGCUGCCCUCUUGUACCGUUAUCAUGGAUCUUACUUCAGUGGGUUGGGAAUUAUUAUUCCUUCUGAAUAGGUCUCUCUCUUGCCAUAUUGCCAUUGCCCCCAGAAGCAGGCACUGUUCUUUCCUUUUCUCAUCCCUUAGAGCAUGAAACAUGGCAUCUGGCAUAUAGCAAAUCCCCUUUUAUCCUGUUAAUUGGAUUGAAUUUUAUGCCACCAUUUUCCCCAAAUUUCCAAAAUCCAAAAAGGUAGGUGGCAAGGUUAAGUGGCUUCCUCCUUACUCCCCUUCUACUAUGAGAAGAGCUCCAAAACCCAUCUUCCAUUUGCUCACUUUAUUUAUUUUUUUUUGCUCUUUACUGUUUUGCCUCUCCUCUCUUCCUUUUCCCUCUUCCCCUUUUCCUCCUUGAACUCAAGAACUGUUGUUUAGUGGCAGAACAAUAAUUUUCCUGCUUU